This 254-nucleotide unclassified non-coding RNA is filed under the name uncultured fungus. RNAcentral's name for it is "partial contains 5.8S ribosomal RNA, internal transcribed spacer 2, and large subunit ribosomal RNA". The stretch from base 1 to 52 matches the Rfam family "5.8S ribosomal RNA", at positions 103 to 154 of the family's 154-position model. Lineage: Eukaryota; Fungi. The record is from RNAcentral.
AACGCACAUUGCGCCCGCUAGUAUUCUAGCGGGCAUGCCUGUCCGAGCGUCAUUUCAACCCCUCAAGCCCGGCUUGGUGUUGGGGCCCUGCGGCUGCCGCAGGCCCUGAAAGGAAGUGGCGGGCCCGCAGCGACUCCGAGCGUAGUAGAAUCCUAUUCUCGCUAGGGAGGCCGCGGCGGCGCCCCUGCCGUUAAACGCAUCACAGCACUCCAAAGGUUGACCUCGGAUCAGGUAGGAAUACCCGCUGAACUUAA